CUAAUCAUGACAUUGAAGAAUACAUAGAGAUAAAAUUACAAGUGUGGAAUGGACGAGAUAAUUCUUCCCUCAUCUUAUUGUUUCUUCUGCUUUGUCACUUCCUUAGCAGUAAGUCUAGAGACCAAUGCAACCGCCGGAUUUUAUUUUCUAUCAGUAAGGAAAAAUAAAUCCCAUUAUCCAAAUUACAUAUACUAAAGUAAAAACCUGUCUAUUACUGAACAGUUAUCUGCAAUCAUUUCAGUAGCAGAAAAUAAAAGAAACAGGAGCUGAGAAAAAUGGAAUGCAUCUCCAAGCGGACACAGUUAUUCGAAACAAAAGAAGAUGGUGGUGGGUUGUAAUAAUAGAACGGAAAGUAAGGAACUAUUGGGUUUGGUGGCGGUGGGCCUUGGUAGUUCCCAUUGUUUGGCGGGGGAUAAAAUGCUCCCCCAUCUGCAGGUGGAGGCGGAGACGAGUAUAUGUACGUAGGCUCUGAUGGCGGCGGCGGGGAAGAGUAAUAGGAGCCUGAAAUCGGCGUUACUGGCGGAGGCGGACAGUCAGAGACAAUAGCCGGAGACGGCGGAGGAGGAGGUGGAGGGCAAGUAGAGACCGGAGGAGGAGGAGAUGGGAGGGGUUGACAAGGAUUAUCACAUGCAGAGCACAUUGUGCAUGAUAUUUGGUCUUUGGACACAGUUGAUGUGGCUAAUGAGGCGUUGAUAGGGAAAAUGAGGAGGAGAAUGAAGAAUGAGAAGAGGGCAAUGACGUUUCCCAUAAUCAAAACUGUAAAAUAAGGAAAGUGUGCGAGACUGAGAGUAUGGGAAAGAAAG
This 803-nucleotide unclassified non-coding RNA is filed under the name Hevea brasiliensis (rubber tree). The record is from RNAcentral. Lineage: Eukaryota; Viridiplantae; Streptophyta; Magnoliopsida; Malpighiales; Euphorbiaceae.